GGGGAAUCUUCCGCAAUGGACGAAAGUCUGACGGAGCAACGCCGCGUGAGUGAAGAAGGUCUUCGGAUUGUAAAGCUCUGUCGUUUGGGACGAACGUGGAUUGUGUGAAUAAUGCAAUCUAAUGACGGUACCAAAGGAGGAAGCCACGGCUAACUACGUGCCAGCAGCCGCGGUAAUACGUAGGUGGCAAGCGUUGUCCGGAAUUACUGGGUGUAAAGGAUGCGUAGGCGGAUAUGUAAGUCAGAUGUGAAACCCCCGGGCUUAACCCGGGGCAUGCAUUUGAGACUGCAUAUCUAGAGUGCAGGAGAGGAAAGCGGAAUUCCUAGUGUAGCGGUGAAAUGCGUAGAUAUUAGGAAGAACACCAGUGGCGAAGGCGGCUUUCUGGACUGUAACUGACGCUGAUGCAUGAAAGCGUGGGGAGCAAACA
This 427-nucleotide ribosomal RNA is filed under the name uncultured Bacillota bacterium. Its description in RNAcentral is "bacterial SSU rRNA". It matches the Rfam family "Bacterial small subunit ribosomal RNA", at positions 356 to 774 of the family's 1533-position model. The record is from RNAcentral. Lineage: Bacteria; Bacillati; Bacillota.